GCGGUCGUGGCGGAAUUGGUAGACGCGUAGCACUAAGGAUGCUAUGAACGAAAGUUCUUGGAAGUUCAAGUCUUCUCGACCGCACCA
RNAcentral lists this transfer RNA (87 nucleotides) under Alphaproteobacteria bacterium. RNAcentral describes it as "tRNA-Leu". It matches the Rfam family "tRNA". Rfam says of the family: Transfer RNA (tRNA) molecules are approximately 80 nucleotides in length. The record is from RNAcentral. Lineage: Bacteria; Pseudomonadati; Pseudomonadota; Alphaproteobacteria. RNAcentral also lists the same sequence under 2 other names.